GUGAACGCUGGCGGUAGGCCUAACACAUGCAAGUCGAACGGCAGCACAGUAAGAGCUUGCUCUUACGGGUGGCGAGUGGCGGACGGGUGAGGAAUACAUCGGAAUCUACUUUUUCGUGGGGGAUAACGUAGGGAAACUUACGCUAAUACCGCAUACGACCUACGGGUGAAAGCAGGGGAUCUUCGGACCUUACGCGAUUGAAUGAGCCGAUGUCGGAUUAGCUAGUUGGCGGGGUAAAGGCCCACCAAGGCGACGAUCCGUAGCUGGUCUGAGAGGAUGAUCAGCCACACUGGAACUGAGACACGGUCCAGACUCCUACGGGAGGCAGCAGUGGGGAAUAUUGGACAAUGGGCGCAAGCCUGAUCCAGCCAUACCGCGUGGGUGAAGAAGGCCUUCGGGUUGUAAAGCCCUUUUGUUGGGAAAGAAAAGCAGCAGGUUAAUACCCCGCUGUUCUGACGGUACCCAAAGAAUAAGCACCGGCUAACUUCGUG
This 491-nucleotide ribosomal RNA is filed under the name uncultured bacterium. RNAcentral describes it as "partial 16S ribosomal RNA". It matches the Rfam family "Bacterial small subunit ribosomal RNA", at positions 29 to 507 of the family's 1533-position model. The record is from RNAcentral.